UUUGCAUGUGAAUGUGAUUAAAUUAAAUUUCUAGCUGUGUUAAGGUCAAGCAACCAUCAUCACAAGCAAACAAAAACAAUAAACAACUUUCCUAAUUACAACACAUGAAGCAUAUGAUUUGAGCGCUUAAUCUUUUCCAAUAAACAAUAAACAACUUUCCUAAUCACAACACAUCAAAUCUAUCUUGAUCUUUUCCAAUUCUCAACAAAUCAGCAAAGUAAUCCUGGAAGCUAAAUACAUGCCAUGGUUAAAUAUUGGAAAUAAAUUUUGGAAGUCUGCACUGUCAUACUGUCAUAUCGGAAAAUCAUUUUCCAUUACCAUAUCGGAAAAUCAUUUUCCAUUAUCAUAUCGGAAAUUGAUUUUUCCAUUACCGUUUUUAAUCAACUGGUUUUCUGGUAAUUUCGCCCCCCAAGGUGGGGCGGGGGGCCUAAUGGGUGGGGUGUUAAACCCAAAUCCCGUUUAUUAGCAAUCUUUCUUCUUCUGAAUUGGCCUCAGCCCCUUCUGCUCAUACUGUUGUCGUGCGUUACAGGCUGUGGUUCAGCGCCGCGACGAACCCAUUCGAAUUAGGUGUCUCUUUCUGCGCCUCUUUGUGAAAUUUCUAGGUUUUUCAAUUUUCAACAAGACGAUCAGAGCCUUUGAAUUCAAGUUCUCUAGAAAUAGCUGAUGUGAGGAUGCAGAGUCUUGGCUGCAAGACGAUGUUCGUGUUCGACCACGGAGCCUCCUAUGACAGCAUUCAGAAUUGGACAGCCCACAGGUUGUAAGGGCAAAGAAGGAGGACACAAGAACUGUAUAUGCAUUGAAAAUCAUGUACAAAAAUAUUAUUACCAAAGAGAACAAAAGAGCUCAUGUGAAGUUGGAACACGUAGUGAAGUUGGAAUGUAUGUACAUCUACUGAACGUACUAUGUACACAUUGGAGGAUGAUUUUUUAUCAUGCACCAAUGGAAAACCAUAGAGGAACCUAAGGAUUGUAAUGAGGUAUGCACAA
Long non-coding RNA from Lotus japonicus, 986 nucleotides. RefSeq lists it as uncharacterized. The transcript has 2 exons. The record is from RefSeq and is a predicted model, not a curated record. NCBI's taxonomy places the organism in Eukaryota, Viridiplantae, Streptophyta, Magnoliopsida, Fabales, Fabaceae.